AUGCGUAGGUGGCGAGCGUUGUCCGGAAUUAUUGGGCGUAAAGCGCGCGCAGGCGGGAAAGUAAGUCUACUCUAAAGGUGCGGGGCUCAACCCCGUGAUGGGGUGGAAACUGCUUUUCUUGAGUGCCGGAGAGGAAAGCGGAAUUCCCAGUGUAGCGAUGAAAUGCGUAGAUAUUGGGAGGAACACCAGUGGCGAAGGCGGCUUUCUGGACGGUGUCUGACGCUGAGGCGCGAAAGCCAGGGGAGC
Molecule: ribosomal RNA, 246 nt
Filed under: uncultured bacterium
Lineage: Bacteria
Description: partial 16S ribosomal RNA
Rfam family: Bacterial small subunit ribosomal RNA
Source: RNAcentral